UGGCUUCAGGGUUUGAAAAGUCAUUCAAUCCCUUCAUUCUUAAAGUUGACCUUCUAGGGAGUCUGGAGCUGGCAAGUUUCAGAUUCAUUUGCGUCAACAUGUUGUUUGGUUAAUGCAGCUGAGCAUCUAAGCCCAUUUUCUUAGAAACAGGAAAUCCCAGUGUGCCAAGAGUAAACAGAUCCCAGCCCCCAAAGGUUCGAGUUCAUUUAGGAACUCCCUGACCACAAGGGUCUGUGGAGCUGUAUGCUUGAGUCAGGCUCACUCUCCUGCCCAUAAUGGAUCUUGCACAAAGAAAUCGGUCUCUCUUCAGCUCAGCACCUAGAAGAGCUGUGAGCUGAGCCAGGCUCAAGAGAGGCCGGGGGUAGGUUAAGGACAGGAUCCUAACGUCAGACAACAUGGAAAAGUAUCGAGGGUCUUUUGUAACUCAGGGGGUGUUUCCCCUGAGACCCCCACCACAGACUCUUUGAUUCCAGUGGCUUGCUUAUAAUUCUUUGUAUCUUCCACAGCAGCAGGGAAUCUUGUCUGUUUUAUUCUCCAUCCCACCACUACCACCACACGGUGUCCGGAACGGGAGGCACUAAGUGCAUAGCUAAGGGGAUGAACGAACGAUUAGCUAAGCGGCACCAUGAGAGUCAAGGCCUUCGUGAAGAAGCUUGCCCGGGCAGGCUUCGCAAGGCAUCAUGCAGGGGUCAGCCGCCAUGGUCCUGAGGGGCUCAGAGAGAAUUCUCGUGGGCAAACUUGUCAGCACUCAACCGGGAAGGACUGAUUCUACCAAAGCGGCCGGGAGGUUCCAGCUUCGCAAGCUCUCUUCCUUCUGACCGAUGACCGCGCAGGGCUCCAACAGCCCCUUGCUGCCCUGUGGCACCUGUCUGCCGGGCAUGACUUUCGGCUUGUUUGAGGAGAGCAAGAAAAGCCAGGGCGGCGCAAGCAGAUGUGAUGAACGCAGCUCCGCUUCCCAAGGCCAAUGUGCAGGAAACAAGUGGAAAGGAAUCUGGCCACCUACUCCUUCCCUGCAGACCUGGCCUCCCCAUUGGUCAGAUUCCAGCGAGGCUGGAAGAAGAAGGGCAGGUGGUGGUGUUCAGAAAUGUGCUUUGCAUCACCAGCUUUGGGGGAGCCUCAGAAGGUUGGGGAGAAUCGCCUCUGUACCCCGAAUCUCAUGGGGAGUGAGUCCCGUGUGUCGUGGAUGCAAAAUCUGUGACUAGGAGAAGUGAAGUGAUUUGCUCAGCAUCACACAUCUGGUGGACAGCAGGAGCUGGCAUUAGAACUCCAGUCUAUGACAUCCGGGUCCCCUUUUUCCGGUUAGGAUGGCUGUCCUGCCUGCCUUUCAGCACUCAAAUGAGUUAA
Long non-coding RNA from Acinonyx jubatus (cheetah), 1344 nucleotides. RefSeq lists it as uncharacterized. Lineage: Eukaryota; Metazoa; Chordata; Mammalia; Carnivora; Felidae. The record is from RefSeq and is a predicted model, not a curated record. The transcript has 3 exons.